Molecule: long non-coding RNA, 4459 nt
Organism: Gopherus flavomarginatus (Mexican gopher tortoise)
Lineage: Eukaryota; Metazoa; Chordata; Testudines; Testudinidae
Exons: 3
Source: RefSeq, a predicted model, not a curated record
AAGAUCUCAGGGAAAGUGCUGGGGAGUGGCAAGAAAGUGACUCUGCACAAACAGCCUCUCCUCCCAUUAGCAAUUGCCAGGAGAAAAUCCAGCCAUGGGAGAGCAAAGCCCCCAGGAAUGGGACUUUCCCAGCCAGAGGAGCAGGGAGAGAGGACAGAGGAAGGAGAGACUGAGAGGGGCAGUGGGAGAAAUGAGUUUGGGGGAGACAUUUCCAGCUCUCUAGUCCACCCAGACACAGGUAUUGCAGCAUUCCUGGGCAGAACCACUUUCCAGUGAACAAGAAAAGGCUCAGACAGAGGAAAAGCUUGUUCUUGACUCCAUAUUCCCCCUGCUGGAGUGUGACUGCCGUGGGGCCGGUGGCCGAGGGAAUUCCCCACAGUGACUCCUUUGGUUCUGCUCUUUUCUAGCCUUGUGUUCCGAGACUUUGUUACGGGGUGAGGAGAGGGAGAAAGGAGGUUAAAAAUAUGUCUGUGCGCUUAGCCUGGCAGGAGGGGCCAGGUCUACACUGUAAUAAAGAGAUCAAGCAUUUCCCAGGAUGGCAGAUUCUAGGAUGUCUGUCUGCAGGGACGGGGCCCUGGAGAAUCGUCCUGUAAAAUUAACUAAAGCUUGUUCUGUAACCCCCACAACUGCCCUUCUCACCCUCCCAGGCUGCAGAAUGACGUCCAUGUUUCGCUCCAGCUCAUCCCAUCCUCCCAUGACACAGGGAAGAGAAAUGGCUCCAGAGGAGCCUGUUCAGAGGCCAGUGACCUUUGAGGAGGUGGCUGUGUAUUUCACCAGAGAAGAGUGGGCUCUGCUGGACCCUGUCCAAAGAGCUCUCUGCAGAGACGUCAUGCAGCAGAACUAUGAGAAUGUGACCUCACUGGCUCCCGGAGCCCAGAGUUCACAACAGAACAAAGAGAGGCAUCACAACAAAACAAGGAGAGGAGCCUUCACUUAAAAGGAUUAUGGGGAGUUCUUCUUUGAGUGCUUGCUCAUAUCAAUUCCAGUUAGGUGUGUGCACGCGCUGCGUGCACGUUCGUCGGAAGAUUUUUACCCUAGCAACACUCGGUGGGUCGGCUGGGUCGCCCUCUGGAGUGGCACCAUUAUGGCACCGGAUAUAUACCCCUGCCGACCCAACGGCCCCUCAGUUCCUUCUUACUGCCCGUGACGGUCGUUGGAACUGUGGAGCGCGGCUUUGCUGAUCUCCACUUCCCUAACUUACUCAUUGUUCUUUACUGUUAAUUGUCUUUAUAGUUGGAGUUUUUACAGUUGUAGUUAGUGUUAAUUGUUGUGUAUAUAUAUAGUUGUUGAGGGGGGAUCGGGGAUUAGCCCCUUUCCUCCACCCCGAUGCUGGGCUCAUGCCUAGGUCACCGGGAUUCAAACCGUGCUCGGCGUGCCAAAUUUCGAUGCCAAUAGGGGAUCCCCACGACUGCUGCCUCAAGUGCCUAGGGGAAUCCCGCCUUCCUGAAAAGUGCUGCAUCUGUAAGUCAUUUAAACCGAGGACGAAGAAGGAGCAGGACUUUCAACUGAAACAGCUCCUCGUGGAGGCGGCACUUAGCCCUGCGACAUCUGUACCAAGUGCUCAACAGCCUCCAUCUGUGAGGAGCGCUCCUUUGGCUCCGGUACCGCGAAGGAGCCACGGCACUGAACCCCACUGGCACCAAUGUCUGCUCGGCACCGCUCCCUGUCCCUGCGGCCCAGGAAGCAACACAGCGCUCCAGCUGCUUCGGCACACAGAAGGAGCGCCCGUUGACGAUGGAUCGCACAGCACUGUCAUCUGCUGCGGCACCACCGAGUGUGGCACUGCAGGGUGCGGCACUGUUGAUUCCAGUCCCGCAAGGGCUGUUGAGUCAGGUGCCCAAAAGCUCCCCAGCUCACGCUGUGGUCGAGCUCGCUCUCCCAUCCACGCCAGAGACCUCCACAGCGCAGGAAUUGAUCGCGAUGACGGAGACUGCGCUGCCUCAACCCCCACCACUGCUGGUGCGGGUCAUCCAAUCUAUUGGCAAGCCUGCCUUGCUGAGGCUGCCCUCCAUGGGAGCCACCAAGAGGCAUCGUUCAAGAUCUCGGUCCCGCCGACGAUCUUGGUCACGCCACUGAUCCCGAUCCCGACGCCGCUCGCAGUCCCCACACCGCUCUCCAUCGCGGUACCGGUCGCACUCGCAGCACUGCUCGGCCUCCCGUUCGCCUGCCAGAUACUCACAGUACCAAUCUGACUCCCGGCACUGUUCACGACACUGCGCAUCUCGCAGCCGCUCCAGGCGAAGGGACUUGAGAUCCCAGUCAACCUCCUGGCACCACUUCGGUUGUAGGUCCCAGUCUACCUCGCGGUACCGUUACAGCUCCCGGUACCAUCCCGAGAAAGACCAGCCCGAGAUGUGGCUCCCUCUCAGGGUCUAUCCGCACCGCCUUGGCCGUCGAGACACACCUCGGUGUCAUCACAGGCUGGUAGCAUUUCCUAUCCACAGGAUCGUGACUCGGAUGUCCCCAGCCAUAUGUUUCCUGAGAGCCAGAGCCAUGAGCAAGGACCUCAUCAGUGGUCUUUCUGGACACCAUGGGCGUACCACCAAGCCCAAGGUGUUCCUUUAGUUGCACCACGGUCUGCCCCAUCAGAACACUGGACACCAGAGGCAACCGUAAGCCGCUCCCCCCAGUGGGUACGGAUGAGGCUUCAGUGCCACCUGCAGACACCCAGGUCCCACCUGAGUCUGAUGCCGCUCCUAAGAAGAGGAGCCCCGACAGGACCCUCCUCUCCCUGGCCUCUCCUCUUCCUCCUCGCCAGACGGAGUUGUGGCAGGAACAUCCUCCUCUGGCCCUCAUCCAGUUGAGCUAAGGGCACAUCAAGACCUCUUGAGACGGGUGGCACAGAAUAUGAAUCUGCAAGUGGAGGAGGUCCCUGAAAUAGAGGACCCUGUAGUGGACAUCCUAUCUGCAGACGCACCUACUAGAGUGGCCCUGCUGUUUAUCUGCACUAUUCAAGCAAACGCAGACACCAUUUGGCAAUCCCCAGCCUCGAUCCCCCCCACAGUCAGGGGAGUAGAGAGAAAAUACAUGGUACCUUCCAAGGGGUAUGAGUAUCUCUACAUACACCCACCUACUUGCUCCCUAGUAGUUCAAUCAGUAAACGAGAGGGAGCGUCAUGGCCAGCAAGCUCCUGCUCCCAAGUCCAAGGAGGCUAGGCGCAUGGACCUCCUAGUCCGCAAAAUAUAUUCAGCCGGGGGUGUCAUAAACAGAUAGUUAAAGGUUAAUGUCUCUUUUACCUAUAAAGGGUUAACAAGCUCAGUGAACCUGGCUGACACCUGACCAAAGGACCAAUCAGGAGACAAGAUACUUUCAAAUCUCGGUGGAGAGAAGUCUUUGUUUAUGCUGCUUUCUUUUGUUCUCUGUUCUCUCUUGGAGCUAAGAGGGACCAGAUGUACAUACAGGCUCACCAAUCUCUGAAACAGGCUCUUCUGUUCAAUGUAGUAAGUACCAGUUAGAAAGGCGGUUUAGUCUUUUGAUUGUUUUCUUUAUUUGCAAAUGUGUAUUUUGCUGGAAGGAUUGUAUCUUUGUUUGCUGCCACUUGUAUUUGUGCUGAGGAGAGGAAUGUGUGCAUGCUACUGGACAACAUCACGGCAGAUGUAAAAGCCAAGACUAUAACAGGAUUCAAAAAGAGCUAAAUCAAUUCAUGGAGGAUAUGCUCUGAGCCAGGAGCUGGGAAUAGGUGACAGGGGAGAGAUCACUUGAUCAUCACCUGUUCUGUUCAUUCCCUCUGAAACACCUGGCUUUAGCCACUAUAGGAAGACAGGAAACUGGACUAGAUGGAUCCAGUCUGACCCAGUGUGGCCGUUCUUACAUUCUUAUGCUCCUUUCAUACAGAUGCCUGGGAUUCUGCCUCACAAUGUGUCCCUGAAGUCUCGGCCAAAUUGCCCCAGACAGGCAAACGCUCUGGGCUCCUGAAGUCUCUGCCCCCCACCUAGUGCCCUAUGGCUCAUCCCUGACCCUUGCUGCUGCUCCUUGCUACAGACUGUGAAAGGAGCAGAGGCAGCGCAGGAGCCUUCUGGGGACGCAGAGCUGAGGCUUUGAGAGAGACACAUUGUCUGAGACAUCAGGGUGCUGUAAACCAUGCAGCCACCCCCUCAAUCAGGGGCCUGUUCCAGCCCUGAGUCUGGGCUACCGCGAUCCCUCCCCCAGAGCAGGGUGCCCACAGAUUACAGCCUGAAAAUAGGCAUGUGACACUAACUCCUGCUUUCCCUGACAGGGCCUCCCCUAGCCCAAGUGGCAUCCCAGGCAAGAAGUGUCUUCAGUGCCUGCUCCCCAAUACAUUACACUUUGGAAUGCUUAUUUUUUAUUGCACUUGUAGCUCAGUUCAUGAUUUUGAUGCACAAUGUGGAUGCAUGAUUCUCUCUGUCAUAUCAGAUGAUAAAUUUGCAGGCUAGGAUCUGUAAACCUGUAUUUAUUCAUGCCAUGUAUAAGUGAAUAAAACAAAUUCAUUUCCUCUGAG